CCAACCGACACAGCGACACAGACACAACAUAGGAGAAUAUCCAAGUAGUAUAAUGGCGUCCUCAAAAUCUCGUCUUGAAUGAGUUCUCAUUUUUGCCACCAGGUGUAAAGGUCCUACAAAUAAUCAACUCUUCUGUGAAAGAAAUUGUUUCGAAAAAUUGAAAAUUGUAUUCGAAAAAUUAAAUUUUUUCGAAUUGUCUCAACAAUUGGAAUGUGAAGCACCAUUCUCCGGUAACAUCCGAUACGUCAUUCGAAUUUUUUUUUUUGCAAGCAAGUAUGUCAAAAAUUUGUAGCAUGUCUGGGUUCGAAAGCGGAAAAUAUGGAGACCAUAAGAGACGGAAAGAGCUAAGGUUGCAGCCUAUUCCUCUGUUUGCUGUACCAUAAAGAGUAAUGAUUUUCUGGAAGCAUGGGAAAAUGUACUGAAGCAAUAAUUUAGACGAGAUGCAGCACAUUUGUUAUCUACCCUUUGCGGAUAAACACAUUCGAACAAGUAAUAGAAUCAAGUGCGGCUAUGUGUGCAUACCUUUUGAGCAUUGGUUUUUAGUAGACAACGCUAUACCGACAUUACCGAAUCAACCAGUGUUUAAAUAAUAUCAAAUGUUAAACUUUCUGUUAAACCUUCUUUCAAAGUUCUUUUGAAAUUUUAAUGCUUCCAGACAUUUUUAAUAGUUGUCACAAUUCAUUUUUGCUGCGUUUUUGGCUUUUUAUAAGUAAAAAAAAUCUCAACAUGUACUUGAAAUCAUCCUAACAAUUUGGCAUUCCCGAUAUUUUGGCUAUUUAUAUUUUUUUUGUAAAAUUUCAAAACAAUAAUGUUUU
Long non-coding RNA from Venturia canescens, 815 nucleotides. RefSeq lists it as uncharacterized. The record is from RefSeq and is a predicted model, not a curated record. The transcript has 3 exons. NCBI's taxonomy places the organism in Eukaryota, Metazoa, Arthropoda, Insecta, Hymenoptera, Ichneumonidae.